GGGUAUGUAGCUCAGUGAUAGAGCACUUGCUUAGCAUGCAUGAGAGACCCUGAGUUCAUCCCCA
RNAcentral lists this transfer RNA (64 nucleotides) under Dipodomys ordii (Ord's kangaroo rat). It matches the Rfam family "tRNA". From Rfam's summary of the family: Transfer RNA (tRNA) molecules are approximately 80 nucleotides in length. The record is from Rfam by way of RNAcentral. Lineage: Eukaryota; Metazoa; Chordata; Mammalia; Rodentia; Heteromyidae.